GUCCUUAUAGCUCAGUUGGUAGAGCACAAGCCUCCUAAGCUUGGGGUGAGAGGUUCAAUUCCUCUUAAGGACG
RNAcentral lists this transfer RNA (73 nucleotides) under Mycoplasmopsis gallinarum. Its description in RNAcentral is "Mycoplasma gallinarum tRNA". It matches the Rfam family "tRNA". From Rfam's summary of the family: Transfer RNA (tRNA) molecules are approximately 80 nucleotides in length. Their secondary structure includes four short double-helical elements and three loops (D, anti-codon, and T loops). Further hydrogen bonds mediate the characteristic L-shaped molecular structure. tRNAs have two regions of fundamental functional importance: the anti-codon, which is responsible for specific mRNA codon recognition, and the 3' end, to which the tRNAs corresponding amino acid is attached (by aminoacyl-tRNA synthetases). tRNAs cope with the degeneracy of the genetic code in two manners: having more than one tRNA (with a specific anti-codon) for a particular amino acid; and 'wobble' base-pairing, i.e. permitting non-standard base-pairing at the 3rd anti-codon position. The record is from Rfam by way of RNAcentral. Lineage: Bacteria; Bacillati; Mycoplasmatota; Mycoplasmoidales; Metamycoplasmataceae.